RNAcentral lists this ribosomal RNA (327 nucleotides) under uncultured eukaryote. RNAcentral describes it as "partial 18S ribosomal RNA". It matches the Rfam family "Eukaryotic small subunit ribosomal RNA", at positions 1470 to 1796 of the family's 1831-position model. The record is from RNAcentral.
CCCUUAGAUGUUCUGGGCCGCACACGCGCUACGCUGAAGGAGGCAGCGUGUACUCCUGGAUCGAAAGAUUUGGGUAACCCGCGAAUCUCCUUCGUGCUAGGGAUUGAGGUUUGCAAUUAUCCUUCAUGAACGAGGAAUUCCCAGUAAGUGCAAGUCAUAAGCUUGCGCUGACUACGUCCCUGCCCUUUGUACACACCGCCCGUCGCUACUACCGAUUGAAUGAUUUAGUGAGGACUUCGGACUGGGACCGAUGCGGCUUUCGGGCUGCGUCGGUAUUCUGGAAAGAUGUCCAAACUGUAUCAUUUAGAGGAAGUAAAANUCGUAACA